RNAcentral lists this ribosomal RNA (155 nucleotides) under Schistocerca americana (American grasshopper). Its description in RNAcentral is "5.8S ribosomal RNA". It matches the Rfam family "5.8S ribosomal RNA". From Rfam's summary of the family: 5.8S ribosomal RNA (5.8S rRNA) is a component of the large subunit of the eukaryotic ribosome. It is transcribed by RNA polymerase I as part of the 45S precursor that also contains 18S and 28S rRNA. Lineage: Eukaryota; Metazoa; Arthropoda; Insecta; Orthoptera; Acrididae. The record is from RNAcentral.
CACCCAGGACGGUGGAUCACUCGGCUCGUGGGUCAAUGAAGAACGCAGCAAAUUGCGCGUCGACAUGUGAACUGCAGGACACAUGAACAUCGACGUUUCGAACGCACAUUGCGGUCCAUGGAUUCCGUUCCCGGGCCACGUCUGGCUGAGGGUCG